CACUAAUGGUGUCAAAGUCUCAAGAAAUUGAAAGUUCUUCACCUUUAUGUCACGGCUUGCUUGUCCGGAUAGCAACAUUUCAGACUUUCAGUCCCUUGUGUGAUUUUACCCUUCUCUUCCAUUGUAGAAUUAUACCUUCAGUAGGAUCAUUUCUUAUUAAUCGUUCUUGAAAAGGUGAAACAGAAAUAUCAAUCAUUUUGGUGAUCUGCUUGGACUCUGGAAGGCUAAUUUUGACACUUCAAUUUUUGGAGUCCCUUUCUACUGCCAAAUAGCAACUGGGUCAAUUUGUAUGUUCAGUAUAAAUUUACUGUUUUUAACUCAUAUUUUGUUCAGUUGAAUAACCCAUGAGUGGCACAGAUACUUCCCGUAGGCCACAGUUCAUCAGUGUGCUUCCACCAGAUUCCAUGGAAAAGUUGGUUAGUGACAGUAACAGUGCUUCCUUUUCUUUUGCUGAACUUUGUUUUAUUUUACUAGAAUGGUCUGAUUUUAAUCUGUUAAUGUGCUCGUGCAGCUAAUUGCUGCUAAGUUUGUGCAAAAUUACAUGUGUAAGGGGCUCAUGAACAAUCGUAUGGCCAUCCUUUUUGGCCCCUUGGGUAAAAUUUGUCAAGUUGAGCUCAAGAUCAAUGGGCCAGACAACUUUCCUUCAGGUGGUUGGUCACAAUUUCUUGAGCUUCAUGGCAUCACUGAAGCUAAUUGUCUGCUAUUAAGGUAUGAGGGUAACAUGGCGUUUACAGUCAAAAUUGUUUGGGCCUGAUGGAUGCCAGAUAAAGUCCAAACACAAUGGUAUCAGAAUUCAACAAAUAUCAACAGUACUUGAUAUUGAAAUGCAGCAGGAGUUACCCUCUGCUUCCAUUCAAAAGUGUGAGAGGAAGAAAGAUCAACUAUGUAGUGAAGAAUGGAAGAAACCAAAAGCCUCCAUGACUUCUCUGAACAAGGCUCCAUUCCAGAAGAAAUCCUUCUAUGAGAUUGGCCCCCCAUCUUGGAUAAAGAAAGUGAUCAACACCAGCACACUUAAAUAUCAUCUUUCUUUGGCCAAAGAUUUCUGCAAUGCGAUUGGGUUGCGGGAAACUUGUGUGAUCACUCUCAAGACCUCUAUGGACAGUACUGAAUCUUGGCAGGUGCAUGGUCGCACAAGCGAGAAUUCCAGCUACCUGAUCUCACAUGGUUGGAAGAGGUUCUGUCAGGAGAACAGUCUCAAGGAAGGAGACAUUUCCACCUUCUAUGUCGUUGGAACUACACUGUGGCAUGUUGUUAUCAUGUCUAAUACAUUAACAUAUACUAAAAAUGCAGCAGGAAACCCCUUCUGCGGCCAGUAGCAAGUGCAAGACUGACAAAUAUAUUUCAAGUAGUUAAGAACAGAAGGGGCCAAAUGGUCCCCCUGACUCCAAAUAAGGCAUCAUCUAAGGAAAAAUGUGCUUUUGAGAUUGGGCCACCAGCUUGGGUG
This is a long non-coding RNA of Panicum hallii, 1444 nucleotides long. RefSeq lists it as uncharacterized. Lineage: Eukaryota; Viridiplantae; Streptophyta; Magnoliopsida; Poales; Poaceae. The record is from RefSeq and is a predicted model, not a curated record. The transcript has 3 exons.